AUGAUAGUUUGUGCGGCUUAUGCUCAUGAACUCCCAAAGUAUGGUGUGAAGGUUGGCCCAACAAAUUAUGCUGUAGCGUAUUGUACUGGCCUGCUGCUGGCCCGCAGGCUCCUCAAUAGGUUUGGCAUGGACAAGAUCUAUGAAGGCCAAGUGGAAGUGACUGGAGAUGAAUACAAUGUGGAAAGCAUUGAUGGUCAACCUGGUGCCUUCACCUGCUAUUUGGAUGCAGGGCUUGCCAGAACUACUACUGGAAAUAAAGUUUUUGGGGCCCUCAAGGGAGCGGUGGAUGGAGGCUUGUCUAUCCCUCACAGUACCAAACGAUUCCCUGGUUAUGAUUCAGAAAACAAGGAAUUCAAUGCAGAAGUACAUCGAAAGCACAUCAUGGGUCAGAAUGUUGCAGAUUAUAUGUGUUACCUAAUGGAAGAAGACGAAGAUGCUUACAAGAAACAAUUCUCUCAAUACAUAAAGAACAACGUAACUCCAGACAUGAUGGAGGAGAUGUAUAAGAAAGCUCAUGCUGCUAUACGAGAGAAUCCAGUUUAUGAGAAGAAGCCUAAGAAAGAAGUUAAAAAGAAGAGGUGGAACCGUCCCAAAAUGUCUCUUGCCCAAAAGAAAGAUCGGGUAGCUCAGAAGAAGGCAAGCUUCCUUAGAGCUCAGGAGCAGGCUGCUGAGAGCUAAUAAACCAAACCACAAUUAUCUAUGAAGAUUUUUCAGAUAAAGACAAUAAUAAACUUAUUCAUCAAGCAAAAAAAAAAAAAAA
Molecule: non-coding RNA, 760 nt
Organism: Leptonychotes weddellii (Weddell seal)
Lineage: Eukaryota; Metazoa; Chordata; Mammalia; Carnivora; Phocidae
Source: RefSeq, a predicted model, not a curated record